This 824-nucleotide ribosomal RNA is filed under the name uncultured microorganism. RNAcentral describes it as "bacterial SSU rRNA". It matches the Rfam family "Bacterial small subunit ribosomal RNA", at positions 99 to 956 of the family's 1533-position model. The record is from RNAcentral.
CGUACGGGUGAGUAACGCGUGAGUUAUCUACAUUUAGGAGGGGGACAACAAAUGGAAACGUUUGCUAAUACCCCGUAAAGCUUUUUAAGUAAAGUUAAAGAUUUUAUCGCCUAGAUAUGAGCUUGCGUCCGAUUAGCUAGUUGGUAAGGUAAAGGCUUACCAAGGCAACGAUCGGUAGUUGUUUCGAGAGAAAGGACAGCCACACUGGGACUGAGACACGGAACAGACUUCUACGGAAGGCAGCAGUGGGGAAUUUUUGGCAAUGGGUGAGAGCCUGACCAAGCAAUACCGCGUGGAGGAAGAAGGUUCUAGGAUUGUAAACUCCUUUUUUCAUUGAAGAAAAUAUGACGGUAAAUGAAGAAUAAGCAUCAGCUAAUUUCGUGCCAGCAGCUGCGGUAAUACGAGAGAUGCAAGCGUUAUCCGGAAUUAUUGGGCGUAAAGCGUUUGUAGAUGGUCUAAUAAGUUUAGUGUCAAAUCUUGAAGCUCAACUUCAAUACGGCAUUGAAAACUGUUAGUCUAGAGUGCGAUAGGGGUAAAGGGAAUUUCCAGUGUAGCGGUGAAAUGCGUAGAUAUUGGAAAGAACACCAAUGGCGAAAGCACUUUACUAGGUUGCUACUGACAUUGAGAGACGAAAGCUAGGGGAUCAAAAAGGAUUAGAUACCCUUGUAGUCCUAGCUGUAAACGAUGGAUACUAAAUGGUGCUUUUUGUACUGUUGUAGCUAACGCGUUAAGUAUCCCGCCUGGGGAGUACGCUUGCAAAAGUGAAACUCAAAGGAAUUGGCGGGGACCUGCACAAGCAGUGGAGCAUGUGGUUUAAUUCGAUG